Molecule: ribosomal RNA, 496 nt
Filed under: uncultured bacterium
Lineage: Bacteria
Description: partial 16S ribosomal RNA
Rfam family: Bacterial small subunit ribosomal RNA
Source: RNAcentral
AUGAACGCUGGCGGCGUGCCUAAUACAUGCAAGUCGAGCGAACAGACGAGGAGCUUGCUCCUCUGACGUUAGCGGCGGACGGGUGAGUAACACGUGGAUAACCUACCUAUAAGACUGGGAUAACUUCGGGAAACCGGAGCUAAUACCGGAUAAUAUAUUGAACCGCAUGGUUCAAUAGUGAAAGACGGUUUUGCUGUCACUUAUAGAUGGAUCCGCGCCGCAUUAGCUAGUUGGUAAGGUAACGGCUUACCAAGGCAACGAUGCGUAGCCGACCUGAGAGGGUGAUCGGCCACACUGGAACUGAGACACGGUCCAGACUCCUACGGGAGGCAGCGGUAGGGAAUCUUCCGCAAUGGGCGAAAGCCUGACGGAGCAGCGCCGCGUGAGUGAUGAAGGUCUUCGGAUCGUAAAACUCUGUUAUUAGGGAAGAACAAAUGUGUAAGUAACUAUGCACGUCUUGACGGUACCUAAUCAGAAAGCCACGGCUAACUACGUG